ACUGGACCAUUGUCGUGGUCUUUGGCAUCUGCAUUUGGUUAUUUCUAUAUGGUUUCGGCUUGGGGUGGUUAUGUGUUUAUUAUCAAUUUGGUUCCGCUUUAUGUGUUGGUGUUGUUAACUGGGAGAUACUCUUUGAGACUUUAUGUUGCUUAUAAUUGUAUGUAUGUUUUGGGAAUGUUGCUUGCUAUGCAGAUUAGUUAUGCAGGGUUGUUGCAGGUUAGGAUCGGUAUCGGCGCCGGCGUGCACAUUGGAGCGUUUGGAUCGUGGCUUCGCCUUUGAAAUUGGCAGAAAUGUUAUUCAUGGAAGUGAUGCUGUUGAAAGUGCUAACAAGGAAAUUGCUCUGCGGUUCCCUAAGGGUGCUGCUAAUUGGCAAAGCAGCCUUUUGAAUCUGUCCUAUUUUGAUAUAUUAAAUUUUAUUAAGUCUGUUUUGUGUCUUGGUUUGGAUGUCAAGUCUUUAUGUUGUUUCUGUUUGAUUAUUCAAAUCGAAAUCUAGUUUUGCUUGA
Long non-coding RNA from Lathyrus oleraceus (garden pea), 503 nucleotides. RefSeq lists it as uncharacterized. Lineage: Eukaryota; Viridiplantae; Streptophyta; Magnoliopsida; Fabales; Fabaceae. The record is from RefSeq and is a predicted model, not a curated record. The transcript has 2 exons.